UGGUAGCAGAGGAUGGUUUACUAACGAUCCAGUCGAAGUGAGUUGAUGUGGGUGUGAGAGGGCGAGUUGGUGAAAGGACGGUUCGCUGGAGGACAGGUGAAGACAUUCGGGGGAGGACAACAAUUCUGCUCAACUCGGGAAACUGAUCACAAGGGUCGACCUUAAACAAGGAUUUUAUGCAUUACAGGUGAACUACAGGUGAAGUCACUCAAUCCAGUCCCAGAGGCUUGGGGACCAUAGAAGACCCCUGGUGACAGCUAGCUGAAAGAGCUACCCAGAUUCAUAUCGCACGGCGGCAGGGUAAGACACUUUUCACUGUCGGACAAUAAACAGUGUUCGGGAGAAGAACUGGAAUUAACAGAAUUCCGGGGGCCAUCUCUCGAAUGAAGUAACCCUCCCUGUCCUGUCACCCCUGUUUUUGUUCAUAGAAGUGAAGAUGUGUCUGGCUCUGGCUAAGUGAUGUGUAUUUUGUUCCAAAAUAAGCAUAAGAGAUCCCUAGAUCUGGGUAGACAGGAAGUUAGAGUAGAGAUUACAUGAUAACCGACUUUGGACAGUUCUAGGAUUGGAGAAGAGGGUAUCCUUAUAGCAUGGGGGAUCCCACAAAGGUGGAUAGGUUUUCCAUGAUAUGGGGAAACCUGGGAGCACUGUUGAACUUUGUAAAGGUGAUGAAAUCCUACUAACCAUCAAAACUAUUAAGCUCUCUGAUGCAGGCACUCACACCCUCGGACUACAAAGGACGAGGACAGACAUGAUGGGUGUGUUUUCUAUUAAGGUGCUGCCAAAACCAGAGGUCACAGACGAACCACACUCCUCUACCACCACUGUGUUAAAAAUACCAUUCAGGUAAUUAAUGUUAGAGACUAUUCGGGUAUGGAUCAAUUACGCACUGAGACUGGUUUGGAUGGUAGGGACAAUUUGUGGCUGUCUUAUAUGAGGUACACAGCUAAAACCCUGAGAAGAAAGGACUGCAUUAUUUGUAGUCAUGCUAGACCUGUUCUGGCUACACACCCAUUUGCUGUAGGAGAAGGAGAGGGGUGGUUGUGUAUUCUGAGAAGUUUUUACCAGGUUAAGCCCAAUUCAACCCUCUGUUCCUCUUUGAGCCUUGUGUUUCCUGCAGUACCUCCUCAUCGAGCCUCUUGGGGUGUUGAGGCAUAUGGGGGCAAUUACAGUUGCAUCACGGGUACAGGUAAUGGCAUUGAUUAUGGGAGAUUGCCUGAAGCUGAUUGCAGUAGUAACAUAACCAUUAAUUCCACUUGGCCAGUUACAGGCCUAAACCAAACUAGUGGUCUGGCUGAUGUGUGGUGGAUGUGUGGAGCCAAAAGAGUGCUGAGACCCAUUCUUAGAGGAGAAUGGCAAGGUACGUGUGGUCUGACCAGUUUGAUAAUUCCACUGACCAUUGUUGAUGUUACUGCUGAACAGCUGUUGGGUUCUGUAUCCAGGGGACCUGAAAACAUUCCAACCCAUGGGAGACAUAGAUGUAGUGCUCCAUGGACAGAGGAUGUAGUUGACAUACACACUAACCUGUUGGGAGUGCCAGUGGGGGUUCCUCAUGAGUUUCAGGCCUUGGGUAGGAAUGAUGGACUCUGGCACUUCCUACCUACUAUGGGUCCAGCCAUAGUGGAUGCUAGACAGACUGCAUGGAUUAAUUAUAUCUACUAUAAUCAACAGCGUUUUGUGAAUUACUCCCGUGAUGCACUCACUGGUAUGUCUGAACAGCUUGAGGCCACAUUUGGGGUUUCCAGACAGAAUAGACUUGCCUUGGAUAUGCUUCUUGCCAGUCAGGGGGACGUCUGCAAGAUGUUCGGUAAACAAUGUUGCACGUAUAUUCCUAAUAAUACCAGUCCAGAUGGUAGUAUAUCUAAGGCGGGCUUGAUGCACUAUCUGCUAAGAUGAGGUCCAUGGCGGGGGUGGAGGAGUCUGACUGUUCAAAUGAGUUGGGAGCCUGGUUUGGUAAGUACACUGGUAUGGUGGUUACUGGAUUUCUGACCCUAAUUCUUGUAUUAUUUGUUAUUGAUGUGAUGUGCUGCUUGCAUCAUACCGUGUUUUAAGAAGUCUGUUACAGAUGUGAUGAAGGCUUCAGGCAUGAUGCCUUUGCUUGAUGUUCCAGUUGGAGAUGCCGAUACUGAAGCAUGCUUUCAGGGGAGGAUGGGACUGACUGAGGAUGACACAUGGUAUGCUGUGGGUGAGGUAGUAGAAUACAUUUUACACCACCACAGUUCCUUGUUAUACAUUUUUAUGAUAGGUUUUCUUUCCAGUAUGUUUGUUCUCCCUGUUGUGAAGGUUUAGAGUCCCUGGGUGGCAAGGAGCCCACCUGGUACAGGAUAGGAGUAGCUGAGAGGACCAGAUGGUUUAUAAUAAUGCUUUGCUCUGUUUUCCAUGACCAAAGUUGUAUCCUAUAUCUUACAUGUCAAUAAACAAUAAAGUUUUAUCCUGUUUUUGAUAAGUGACACCCUUGUGGGUGUCAAAAGGGGGACUUAAAUUUCACACCUUUUUCUUUUGUUCUGUUUUUAAAUGAGCUGUUGUUCUCUUUUGACAUGAGGGUUGUAAGUUCCUAGGUGGCUGGUAGCCAAUCUAGUACAUAGUGGGAUCGAAUGGAGGACAUGAAGGUAUUUUAAACUUUGUAACUGUUAUGAUUCAUUGCUGAAUUUAUGUUCACACCCUUGGGGUUAUUUUACAUUAUAGCCAUUACCAUAUAUACGAUUGAAUAUUAUCUGCUGUUGCCUUGUGUGGAUGUAUGUAUGUGUUAUGCAACCUAGCUGAUUUGAAACAUUGUUAAAAGUAUCAGGGCCAUGGGACUUUCUCAUGAUGGAAAAAUACAGAGUAGCAUGAAGACGAACUGUUCAAAUGAGUUGGGAGGGGGGCACAUUCAGAGCGGGGUGUUGCGAGAACAAGCGGUCUUUUGUUAGAUAACAGGAGCCAGGUGCGAGAUAACAGUAUGGAGCAUAAGACCCAUCUUUCAGUUUUUGCAGCCAUUUUAGUGUUGUGCGGAUUUUGAGCUUCUCCAUUCUAUGUCGUGCCUCUUCUAAAUUGGGAAGAAGGGGCAUGUGGACCAUUCCGCCUGACUUGCCUAGUUUAUGUCACAUCUCUUAGGAGAUGUGAAGAGAGGGAAUCACAAAACUUUUCCUUCUGGGAAAAGUUUUCUUUUUGUGUCUGGAUCUAGUUAGGUUGUGUCACGUCUCUGGGGAGAUGUGAAGAGAGGGAUUUGUAAGGAAGUGCUAUUUCUUAUGCAGGUGACCAGCCUACUGCUAUUACAUUGCUAUAGCUGAGACAACGUAUUUUCACAGUAAAACAUGUUAGGUCCCAUACAGGAUAGCUCCCACACCCACACACACAGCACACACACAUUACACACACUAACUGCCGAGGACACACAGAUAAGACACCCACACAUUGGGAGGAAGAGACAGCCUUGACUUGCAGACAAACCAGCGUACACACCUAAUCUCCUUUCUAGCCGAACAUUGUGUGACUGAGGACAGCGCACACACCAAAUCUCCUUUUUAGCCGAACAUUGUGUGACUGAGGACGGGACCCGGAGGAACGACGGACGGCUCAACAGGACCAAUCCAAGAAGACAACACCUCAACUGUGGCCAAUCAAAAGCCAGAGACUUUCAGACUCAACCCACUUUUUGUACUGUACUUAACAUGCUUACAAUCGGUUAUCGGGGCUUUUUCUGAUGGUUCCUUGUGAGCCAAAUGAACAGAGCCCGUAUACGUUGUACCAGAUAUCUUUACUCUGAAUAAACUGUCGCUUGUCAUACAAUUUA
This is a long non-coding RNA of Oncorhynchus nerka (sockeye salmon), 3769 nucleotides long. RefSeq lists it as uncharacterized. The record is from RefSeq and is a predicted model, not a curated record. The transcript has 2 exons. NCBI's taxonomy places the organism in Eukaryota, Metazoa, Chordata, Actinopteri, Salmoniformes, Salmonidae.